This 3828-nucleotide unclassified non-coding RNA is filed under the name Leishmania donovani. Its description in RNAcentral is "gene:LdHU3.32.2310(CDS-product:zinc_finger_protei n_2_putative)". The record is from RNAcentral. Lineage: Eukaryota; Euglenozoa; Kinetoplastea; Trypanosomatida; Trypanosomatidae.
AGAUUUGCCUUUCUUCUUGCGCGCCUCUCCUCCUUCCCCCUUCCCUUUUUUUCUUUGUCGUUGUUGUUUUCCGUUCUCUUCGUUUUCGUUUUUUUUUGUCUUUCGACUUGCCCUUUUUCGUGUUCAUUUUGUUUUCGGUGCGUCUACCCACUCCUCUUGGUGCAUCGUCUCUCUCUCUCUCUCGUCAGCGGUUUCUCCAGCUAGCCGAGCAACUCCCGCUCUACGCUACUGCUCCUUCUCUGCGCCUCUGGGUCGCUCUCCGUUGUUCUCACGCACAUAGAAAGACGUGCAGGCGCGCCGACAGAUUCGACAGACCAAGAGAGAGAAAGAGAGUAACCGACAGAGUCUCUUUUUUGCCGUGAUUUCAGCUCGCCCCUGCCGCCGCUAUCCUUUCGCUCCCUCCCUUUGCUUUUUUCUCUCUUUUUGUGUGAAGGCCCUCUGUCUGCGUUUUCGCAGCUCCAUUUCCUCCCCCUUUUUUGUUCUCCUCGUUCCGACGGUGCUAAAGUUGUUUCGUGUGUGUUUUUCUAAGAAACUUGCGUCCCUGUACGCCUGUUUUCCGCGCUCUUACACUAUUCCUCUUCUCACCGCAAAAAAUGCAGAUGAACUCCUACGCUGGUGGCUACAGCACCCACAACCGCAGCUAUGCGGCAAUGGUUCCGCCGCCGGUGCCGAUGCCUCCUGGCUGGGAGAUGGCGUACACUCCCAACGGCGAAAUCUAUUACAUUGACCACAAUACUCGUACUACGCACUGGCAACUACCAGCGGAGUACACCAUGCAGCAGUCCAUCUGCAGCUACCGUGGCCCGCAGCGCCAGCGCCGCGGUAUCGACCGUAGCAAGGCCAAGACAAAGAUGUGCAUGAACAUUGAGAACGGCGGCACGUGCUCUUACGGGGCCAACUGCGCCUUUGCCCACUCCUCGGAGGAGCUGUCGACGCACCCUCACUUCAACCCCGCUCCAGACGCGGGCUACAGCGCGAAGUAGGAGGGAGUGUAGCGGACAGGCCUCCUAUCUCUCAGGGUGCCAUACUCUGUUUUGUCAACUUUUUUUUUUCGUGCGUUUCUGCCGCUUUCUCUGCGAGUGUCUCGCGCGUGUGUUUGUGGAGGACGGCAGGGACAGAGAGCCGCGCGCACAGCACGGGCGACCACAUGAGAGGAGGGCCCGUGAGCCUCCGAGGGCGCGCGAGCACACCAAAAACGAGACAACAAAAUAGACAGAAUCCGACGCACAGCAGCGACGAAGGGCAGGUGAAGCGGAACGCAUAAAAGGCAAACUGUAAGACAUGAGAUAACGGAAGAGGGCUAAGAGAGGAGCGAGGGAAAGUCGCAGAGAGAAGGGUGACGGUAACGCAAGAGGAAAAAAAAACGAAAAGGGCAUAUCGUGCGCGUACUUUGUUUGAGCCCGCUCUUCUUCCCUUGUACGUUCUCACAGGUGUCUAUCCGUCCAUUGUCCGCUUAUCCACUGCUGCUCCUUCCUUCCCCCUUUUUCCCGUUUCUGCUGCCUCCCUCUCCCUCUCUGCUUCCCACCGGCUCUAUUCGCGUGCACUAGUCGACUAGAUCCCUCCUUUCGUUUCUCGUUUGCUUGCCUCCUUCACUGCCACCUUUGUACGUCUUGUCUUUUGGUCCCUCACGAUCAUGUGUUGUCCUGCGAUGCCCGCGGGAUCCUCUCUCUCGAGCACACACACACACACACACACACACAGAGAUAGACGCCGAUGCUGCACGAGUGCAAGCGCCAUUUUGGCGUAGUCGCGCUCGCUCUUUGUUUUUUUUCUCCCCACCUAAUUUUGUCCUCUGUUCUUGAUCAUUAAGAGAGCAUGUGUGUUGUCAACUUUUUCUACGUAGACGAAGAGUGAUCGAGAGGGAAAGAGGGAUGGAGUGCUCAGUGCGAUGUGGAGCUCAUGCUUCUUUAUUUCUCUCUUUUUCUCUCAUUUUUUUCUCUCCUUUUUGUUUGUUCUAUGGUUUGAUUAUGCUUGUUGUAAAGAAAUCUGUUGGGCUCGAUAGUAACGAAGUGACUGAAGAUUGCGGGCAUUCGUGUUUAUGCAUAGGUGCUUUCUUGGUGACUGGUGCUGCCGGUGGUCAUUUGCUGUGGUGCAGCGUUAGUUUUGAUCUUUGUGUGUGUGUGUGUGUUUUGUCGGUCUCCGUAAUGUGAGUUUGUAUCGUGCUGUUGCCGUGUUUAGCCCGCGUUUUCAUGGUGGACCGAGGCCGGUGGUGGCUCUCUUUUGUCUGAAUGUCUGCGUUUCGUGGGAAGACGCCUCUGGGGCUCUGAGCUCGUGUCCCCGCACCGGUGUAUGGGUGCGAAUAGAGAAAGAGUGUUGCACCGCGUGGGUCUGUGCAAGUUGACGGUCUCCUGUGAAAUGCUCUCGACCGUCGUGAACCUCAGCAUCCCGUUUGUUGCUAUUAUCCCGCUAGGAUGCCUCUUUUUGUUUUUUUUUUGCCUGCUGAAGUACGGGUGCUCUUGUUGAUUGUGUAACAGGUCGGGGUGUUUGUGUGUGCCGUCGGUGACCAUUCAUAACGAUUAACGAGUAAGGCAUUCGAAAAACAAACAAAAAAGACUGCCUCUACGUAAUGCGCAUUUUUUACCAUCUGUGUGUGUGUGUGUGUGCGUGCGUGUUGGUGCUCUUUCCCCCCUCCUCUCUCCCCCUUUUCUCUAUGGUUUUGCUUUUCUCUGAGGCGUUCUCUUUCUCUGUCGGUUGUUUUUUCGAUGGCGUACCCCCGUCUUCCUGCAUUUCUGUGCACCUGUUCACGCCUCCUUCUCUCUCUGGAUCUGUGUGGCGGCCUUUGACAGUCUUUGUGUGUGUAUCUGUGCGUUCCACCUUUUUUGCUUGUUUUUGCUUCUCUCUUCUCGGCGUUGUUUUUGUUUCCCUGCCCCUCUUUUGGCCGUGUUGCGCGCAGGGUCUUCUUCCUUCGUUUUGUGCGAUUCGGUGUUUUCUUUGCGUCGUUCCGUUUCCGCUUCGCCCGUGCCUGGUGGUAUUCUCUUUUCGGCGUCCUGUUGUUAUUUGUUGCCCUUGCUUUUAUUAUUAUUGUCUUUCGCUAAAAUGGGAGAAAAAUUGAGAAGAGUGGACCGCACACGAGAACAGAGCCCCUUUUUCCUUCGCCCCGCCGCCGCCCUUCCAUCGCUCUUCUCCCCGUGUUAUACCCUUGGCACUCUCGACCUCUCUCUUUCUCCCUCUGCGCGUGCGCUUUUGUGACCGUGUGUGCGCGUGUUUGACAAGGACCUUUAUAUGGUAGAAUCAGCCCUUUUCUCUCUUCUCUCCGUACCAGCUCAUCCCCACGCGUGAUUCCGCUGGAGCUGUGUUUGGUCUGUCUCGUGUUAUUCCCUUUUUUUUUUGCCAUCAUCCUUCUCGCCUCCGCACGCGCCCCGGCAUGCACGUCUACGCCUCUUGGCCAUGUAAUACGGUCUCGCUUUGGUUUUCCCCCUUUUCGUCUUUUUCCUUUUUCGCAUGCUUGUACUCUGCGAGCGAACCUUGCAGAGCGGUGGCUCCCACGUGGCAUACAUGGGGCACUCUCGGAAAAGGAGUGACAUACGCGGGUGUGCUCACCACACGAGCGUUCUAUCGUGAUACAGCGUGACGUAGAAGGAGGCAAACUCGAAGGAAAGGGUGUUUGUGUGUGCACAGGAGGGUCUUGAUGCAUAUACAUACACAUGUAUAUGUUUGCGUGCUCUCUCUGUCCCGCGGACUCACUCUCACCUACGCACGGAUACAUUCAGGCAUACAUACAAACUGUUCAUACGGUUGCACUUCAUUUGUCUCUUUUUUUUUCGUGUGCUCCUCUGUUUUAGCUGUUUAAUCUACUAAGUCUAGAACAACAAUGCAAAACCCACCACC